GGCGGAGUAGCUCAGUAGGUUAGAGCAGCGGAAUCAUAAUCCGCGUGUCGGGGGUUCAAGUCCCUCUCCCGCUACCA
Molecule: transfer RNA, 77 nt
Filed under: Paracoccaceae bacterium
Lineage: Bacteria; Pseudomonadati; Pseudomonadota; Alphaproteobacteria; Rhodobacterales; Paracoccaceae
Description: Rhodobacteraceae bacterium tRNA-Met
Rfam family: tRNA
About the family: Transfer RNA (tRNA) molecules are approximately 80 nucleotides in length. Their secondary structure includes four short double-helical elements and three loops (D, anti-codon, and T loops). Further hydrogen bonds mediate the characteristic L-shaped molecular structure. tRNAs have two regions of fundamental functional importance: the anti-codon, which is responsible for specific mRNA codon recognition, and the 3' end, to which the tRNAs corresponding amino acid is attached (by aminoacyl-tRNA synthetases). tRNAs cope with the degeneracy of the genetic code in two manners: having more than one tRNA (with a specific anti-codon) for a particular amino acid; and 'wobble' base-pairing, i.e. permitting non-standard base-pairing at the 3rd anti-codon position.
Source: RNAcentral